GCUGAUUUAAAGAGCACCAAUUAUGCUAAUAAAUUGGCACGUUAGCACGUUAUUGCAGUAUCCCAUAGUACAUACAUGUUAUUAAAACUUGAACUAAUGCAUUGUGAGUCUUAUAAAUUGCUUACAUACCUCACCGAUUUCCCACUGUCUGGAAAACGCUCGGUUUAGUUCCUGUCUCCGCCUCCCAAAAUGUCUAGUGUAAUCGGAUUGGUCAGAUGACUACUCAACUGUUAUUGGUCACCUGGGUUCGGCGUGUGUUUGAAAGGUUACGCCCCUGACUACGCGUGGGUUGACACCGGUUCUGACUGAGAGUCACAGCCUCAGAGGCAACGUAAACAAGCGUUAUAUUUCUCUAUAAACGAUGGUGUCUGUACUGCCUUACCACUUCGAGCUCGAUCCAGAGAGUUCAGAAGGCCGUUACGAUAUAAACGAUCUCCGUCAAUGAAUGCGAUUGGAUUUAACUUUUUUAGGUGUCCUUAGCUCUGCCAGAAUGCUAAACGAAGAAGAAAAUGUGUGGCAAAGACAUCCAAAAGGUUUUAAGGAGAAUGCAACAGGUUCCAGGGCCUCUUACCUGCGUGAUUCAUCAUCCAGGUUUUGCACAAAUUGUCUAAAUCCCUACACACAGAACAUUUAUUGUACCGACUAUAAGCCUUUGAGGCGCAGGACUAGAAUAUGCUUGGAGCUUCCUGAUCGGAAUGUUGGCUUCCGACGACCCCUGCACUGAAGAUGGCAUGCAAUCACGUCCUCCUUUGAAGGUCUCUCAAACUGGG
This is a non-coding RNA of Misgurnus anguillicaudatus (oriental weatherfish), 770 nucleotides long. The record is from RefSeq and is a predicted model, not a curated record. NCBI's taxonomy places the organism in Eukaryota, Metazoa, Chordata, Actinopteri, Cypriniformes, Cobitidae.